Molecule: non-coding RNA, 1459 nt
Organism: Paramormyrops kingsleyae
Lineage: Eukaryota; Metazoa; Chordata; Actinopteri; Osteoglossiformes; Mormyridae
Source: RefSeq, a predicted model, not a curated record
GAAGGCUACAAGAAGACAGCAAAACGUUGUCAGCUUGCAGUUUCCACAGUGAGUAGUGUAAUUAAGAGAUGGCAGUUCAGGGAAACUGUGGAGGUCAAGAUGACCAAGACAACUCUUGGAGAGAACUGCUCACAUGCUGGUCAGAAAGAAAAAUCAAAAUCUCCAUUUGACUGCAAAAAAACUGCAGGAACAUUUAGCAGACUCAGGAGUGGUGGUGCACUGUUCCACAAGACCUUCAUGAAAGAGUCAGCAGAAGAAAACCUUAUCUGCAUCCCCAUCAUAAAAUCCAACGUCAGAAGUAUGCAACAGAACAUCUACAGAAGCCUGAUGCGUUUUGGAAACAAGUGCUGUGGACUGAUUAAGUUAAAAUAGAACUCUUUGGCCACAAUCAGCAAUGGCAUGUUUGGAGAAAAAAAGGAGCAACAUUUCAUGAAAACAACACCUUGCCAACUAUCAAGCAUGGAGGUGGAUCUAUCAUGCUUUGGGGUUGUGUUGCAGCCAGUGGCACAGGAAACAUUGCACGGGUGGAGGGAAGAAUGGAUUCCACUAAAUACCAGCAAACAUCUGGAAGCAAACAUCACACCAUCUGUAAAAAAGCUGAAGCUGAAAAGAGGAUGGCUUCUACAACAGGACAAUGACCCUAAAAAUACCUCGAAAUCCACCAUGGACUACCUCAAGAGACACAAGCUGAAGGUCUUGGAAUGGCCAUCACAGGGAGACAAUGCCAGUUGGCAGACCGUGCAGCUUAAAAACAUGAUCAACUAACAGCUGGGCAGUUUCCUUAGUCAAGGGGAGCUUAGGAAUAGGAAUUAAAUGGACUGCCUUGGAAAAUUGAUCGACAACAGUAUGGACCCCCAUGUUCCUGUUGGACAAUGGAAGUCCAGUCACAAAAUCUAAAGCCAUAUGUGACCAGGGCCUGCGAAGAAUGGGUAGAGGGCGCAAUAGACCAGCUGGGGGCUGGGACGGGGUCUUGUUACGUGCGUAGACUGGGCAAGCUGUGAUAUAGCUCUGAACAUCCUGAAGCGUACAUGGCCACCAGAAGCAUUGCUUUUAAGAGGGCCGUAGUUCCUCGGACCCCUGGGUGGCAUGCUAGGAGGGAAGAGUGCCCCCACUGGGGUGUUCGAGUACGCAGAAACUUUGGGAUGUAGAGUUAUUUGGGGGGCCCCCUGCAAGAAGACGUAAGAAGUGCAGUACCACCUGGAUCGCUUCCUCAAUCCCCCAGGAUACAGCCCCAACAAAGCAGCUGGGUGGCAGAAUGGGGCUAUGGUAAUCCGUGGGGUCAUCUCCCCCAAACUGCCGUGACAGCGCAUCAGGUUUAUGGUUCUUCACUCCGGGCCUAAGAGAAAACAAGAAAUUGAAGCUGGCAAAAAAUAGCAACCACCUAGCUUGGUGGGCAUUAAGGCGUUUAGCAGACUGUAAAUAUUCAAGGUUCUUAUGAUCUGUUAAGACCAGAAAUGGU